AUGAUGUGGCUUGGUAUAUUAAUUACAAUAUGCUACUUUGUUCACUUUACAGCUAGCAUUGGGCCAGAACUUUCAGUUGUGCAAUAUCCUGAAGAUGCCAAUGUGCUUUUUAACUCAACGGUGUGGAUGUUGUGUGUAUUUGAGUACCCAGAAGAGGAGAAUGAGGAGCCAGUCGUGUACUGGAGGAAAGGCCCUAACUGCAAUAAUCUGCAGAGCCUUCAGUCGAGCACAGGGACUGCUAGGCCACAGAUACACAUUGUAAAGAAAAUACGCAAGGGAUUCUCCAUCUUGAAACUGAGCAAUGUUGAUCACAGUGCCAGUAAUUCAUAUUUCUGUGAUGUGACACUAACUCAGAAUGUCCGGAGCAAACGUGGAAGUGGCACCAACCUGAUCGUACAUGACCUGAAAUGCAAAGACUGUAUAAGAUCAGACAAGACUUGGUGGGGUUGGUUUCUUCUUCUUGGAUACACCAUCUUUGUCACCUCAGUUCUCAUAGCUUUCAGUAUUCAUCAGGGCUGUAAAAAGUGCAAGAGCAAGCCAAGAAGCACCAAUAGCAGUGGUACCUUGCCAAGUGACUGGAUUUACGACAUGCCAUCCAGACCAGUUAACAAUGGGUUUAAUCAAGAAUAUGAAGAUAUGUCGCUAAUAAGGACUUUCACUGACACUGGAAGGAAGAUGAUAUGA
Molecule: long non-coding RNA, 684 nt
Filed under: Struthio camelus australis
Lineage: Eukaryota; Metazoa; Chordata; Aves; Struthioniformes; Struthionidae
Description: lncRNA (ENSSCUG00000016416.1)
Source: RNAcentral